UGUAAGCGUAUACCAAAGUUGUUGCAGUUAAAACGCUCGUAGUCGGAAUUUGGCAGUUCCGGAUGUGUGCACGUCGUGUGCGCACUUCGCGGGGAUUGCUUUUGUGGUCUUGCGUAGGAUGAGGCACUUUUAUUAGUGAACGUCCUCACGCAACAACUUUUUACUGUGAGAAAAUCAGAGUGCUCAAAGCAGGCAUUUGCCGUGAAUGUAUUAGCAUGGAAUAAUAGAAUAGGACUUGGUUCUAUUUUGUUGGUUUGUUGGGACUGAGUAAUGAUUAAGAGGGACAGUUGGGGGCAUUUGUAUUUCGGUGCUAGAGGUGAAAUUCUUAGAUUACCGAAAGACAAACUGCUGCGAAAGCGUCUGCCAAGGAUGUUUUCAUUGA
Molecule: ribosomal RNA, 382 nt
Filed under: uncultured eukaryote
Lineage: Eukaryota
Description: partial 18S ribosomal RNA
Rfam family: Eukaryotic small subunit ribosomal RNA
Source: RNAcentral